RNAcentral lists this transfer RNA (71 nucleotides) under Loxodonta africana (African savanna elephant). It matches the Rfam family "tRNA". Rfam says of the family: Transfer RNA (tRNA) molecules are approximately 80 nucleotides in length. The record is from Rfam by way of RNAcentral. Lineage: Eukaryota; Metazoa; Chordata; Mammalia; Proboscidea; Elephantidae.
ACAGUGGUGGUUCAGAGGUAGAAUUCUUACCUUCCAUUGAGGAGACCCGAGUUCAAUUCCCGGCCAGUGCA